AGGUGGCUCAGCGGUAAAGCAUCCGCCUGCAAAGCAGGAAACAUGGGUUCGAUCCCGCCCU
This 61-nucleotide transfer RNA is filed under the name Bos taurus (domestic cattle). It matches the Rfam family "tRNA", at positions 5 to 66 of the family's 71-position model. Rfam says of the family: Transfer RNA (tRNA) molecules are approximately 80 nucleotides in length. Their secondary structure includes four short double-helical elements and three loops (D, anti-codon, and T loops). The record is from Rfam by way of RNAcentral. RNAcentral also lists the same sequence under 1 other name. Lineage: Eukaryota; Metazoa; Chordata; Mammalia; Artiodactyla; Bovidae.